GACGAACGCUGGCGGCGUGCUUAACACAUGCAAGUCGAACGGAAAGGCCCUGCUUUUGUGGGGUGCUCGAGUGGCGAACGGGUGAGUAACACGUGAGUAACCUGCCCUUGACUUUGGGAUAACUUCAGGAAACUGGGGCUAAUACCGGAUAGGAGCUCCUGCUGCAUGGUGGGGGUUGGAAAGUUUCGGCGGUUGGGGAUGGACUCGCGGCUUAUCAGCUUGUUGGUGGGGUAGUGGCUUACCAAGGCUUUGACGGGUAGCCGGCCUGAGAGGGUGACCGACCACAUUGGGACUGAGAUACGGCCCAGACUCCUUCGGGAGGCAGCAGUGGGGAAUAUUGCACAAUGGGCGGAAGCCUGAUGCAGCAACGCCGCGUGCGGGAUGACGGCCUUCGGGUUGUAAACCGCUUUCGCCUGUGACGAAGCGUGAGUGACGGUAAUGGGUAAAGAAGCACCGGCUAACUACGU
Molecule: ribosomal RNA, 467 nt
Filed under: uncultured bacterium
Lineage: Bacteria
Description: partial 16S ribosomal RNA
Rfam family: Bacterial small subunit ribosomal RNA
Source: RNAcentral